UGAGGAAUAUUGCGCAAUGGGGGCAACCCUGACGCAGCGACGCCGCGUGGAUGAUGAAGGCCCUUGGGUCGUAAAAUCCUGUCAGAUGGAAAGAAAUGUAUGGGUGUUAAUAUCGCCUGUAUUUGACGGUACCAUCAAAGGAAGCACCGGCUAACUCCGUGCCAGCAGCCGCGGUAAUACGGAGGGUGCGAACGUUGUUCGGAAUUACUGGGCGUAAAGCGCGCGUAGGCGGUUUGCUUAGUCAGAUGUGAAAGUCCUCGGCUUAACCGGGGACGUGCAUUUGAAACUGGCAGACUUGAGUACUGGAGGGGGUGGUGGAAUUCCCGGUGUAGAGGUGAAAUUCGUAGAUAUCGGGAGGAAUACCGGUGGCGAAGGCGACCACCUGGCCAGAUACUGACGCUGAGGUGCGAAAGCGUGGGGAGCAAACAG
This 429-nucleotide ribosomal RNA is filed under the name uncultured bacterium. RNAcentral's name for it is "bacterial SSU rRNA". It matches the Rfam family "Bacterial small subunit ribosomal RNA", at positions 355 to 775 of the family's 1533-position model. The record is from RNAcentral.